UGAGGGUGGACUUGACUACUUGGGAAACCCAAGCUUGGUCCAUGCUCAGAGCAUCUUGGCCAUCUGGGCUACCCAAGUCAUCUUGAUGGGGGCCGUUGAGGGUUACCGUGGUGCUGGAGGACCUCUAGUAGAAAUUGUUGAACCCCUUUACCCCGGAGGAAGCUUUGACCCAUUAGGCCUUGCAGAAGAUCCUGCAGCAUAUGCUGAGCAUAAGGUGAAGGAACUGAAGAAUGGAAGACUAGCCAUGUUCUCGAUGUUUGGUUUCUUUGUACAAGCUAUUGUGACAGGAAAGGGACCAUUAGAGAACUUAGCUGACCACCUUGCAGACCCUGUAAACAACAAUGCCUGGGCCUUUGCCACCAACUUUGUUCCCGGAAAGUGAGAGAUAGUCUUUUGCAGUUGUAAUUGUAAUGUAGUUUAAGAAUUCUGUGUGGUGUAAAUUGGUACGAUCUCUUAAUGGCAAAAUAAUGAUUUUUAAUUUGCUUCUAAGUUCUAAUGCUGCUAAUCUGCAAUGUUUUUUUUCUUCUUUUACUUUCUUAAGUCUUCUGUCUUUUACAUUUCAACUUCUUCAUAUAUCUGACUUGUUAAUUUUGUAUGAGAUUCCAAAAUUAAUAUGAGCUGGGAUUUGAAAAUUGUAUGCAAUAUAUAGUCUUAAAUUUGUGCGUAAUGUUCUCCAAGGGUUAGACGACUCCCAUUGCAUAUGAGGCCUGACAAAGCUUCAGUGAUAAUUUGAGAAUGUUUAUGUUGUAGCAGUGAUAUAAAACUUCAUAAUUUUAAGCACAAAAAGAGUUAGACAAUGGUUUGAAGUAAAAAGAGUUUUCCUUUAUGAGAGUGCUUAUAGCCGAUCGUUUAUGUAGAAAAAAAUAUUUAGCAAAGUAGGAUAUCUUCCCCCUGUUUUGUAUUCAAUAAAACUCUACAAUGCCAGAUGGUUAUGUAUAGCUUUUGGUACAUCUGUUAAAAAAGAUAUAACUACUUCCAAAUAGAUUUUUCACACUCUCAUAUAUUACAUUUACUUUCUAAACAUUCUUGCAACACACUUGAUACAGUCAUCAUUGUAUAACAACAAUUGUAUUUAAAUGUAUCAGUAGCUAAACACAAUUACUUUCGUUCUUUCUAUCUGUUUAGAUGGAAUCCUCCGUAAGAAUCAAGGAAAUGAUUAUAGAAGAGGAUGAUUAAGGUAGAAUUAUUGACAGGGGUUUCAGAAGAAAUAACUUGAAGAGGAAGUUGUGAUGGAGCUGUUUGGAUAAAUUAUUCCUCAAGUGGUCUUUCACUAUGAUUAUGCUUUGCAUGAUAUUUGUUUAAUGAUUGUGCUAUAUUUUAUUAUGCUCUUUUCGAAGAAUAGAAUAGCAGAACUCAAAAGAAACUAGGCAGAGAUCUCUUUUGCUUACAAGUCUCCUGCAUCAGCACGGUUCGAGUAAAGUUCCAGUAUAAGCAGGGCUAUCCCUAUUUAUUGUUGGAUUUUCAAAUUCUGUACUAGCAAUGAAUAUUUCACCAGUAACAGUGAAUUUCCAGUAGACGUCUUUUGUUGUCACACAAGUAUUGUUCUACAAAGAUAAUAUGUGACAGUUCCAUCUUCUCUGGAGAUUAUAUGCGUCGACUGACAAGUCAAAUAUGAUUCUAAACACGACAUCUAAUCCAACUACAAUAAUUGUUGAGCAUCCCUGAAAUUCACGAUCACAGGAUUUACACUGUAAUUACCUCUCAAUAUAUUGUUCCACAGUUUUUCCAGUUUCAAGGUUUUCCUGCAUGUUUCCAAAUUCUGAACCAAGUGAUCCAUACACUGUCAGGAAGUAGGGAAGUGCAGUAAUACCAUAUCCACCAUACUUGUAUUCUCUGUUGUAGUGAUAACAAAUAUAAAAAUUGAUAUCUCAUUCCGCUUCAAAAUUGCUUUUCAAUAAAACCAUCAACUCACUAGUACUAGAACAGUUCUAUAAAGAGUUGUCACUUGUUCUUAUGUUAUUGCGUUAUAGAUUUUAUUUGUCUAGUGUUUUAUAAAUACAUUCGUGAUACAUAUGCUUUAGAGGCAAAGCACAAGACUGAAUUUACAAUAGUAGAAUAGGCGACAAGACUGUUUCAGAGAGAAAAAACAAAAUGAAUUAAUAGGAUUGUGCAGUUUUUCAAUAAAACACAGAGUGAAGAUCAGCUAAGGAAGCAUCAAGUUAGGUAAAAGGCAUCAGAUAGGAAAUUUCCAAAAAGGGCAUCAGAUUUGAGUAACAGAAGUGUAGAAAACCAGUAAAACAGAUAGCCCUUGUUUACUUUAAUAUGUUUAGGAAUAUAGUUUAUUGCAAAAUGUAGGCCAGCCAUUGAACUCUUUAUGAUUUUCUUAUUUCGCUUAUCAGUAAGCUCAGAUAUGUGAAUGAAACUGAUUACCUGCGAAAAUUGGGAAUAACGACUGAUGUUUAACAUAAAAAUGCAGUUCAUUUCUUUUGUUCAAGUAAUUUUACUAUCUGCUUUUCUACCACGUAUGUAUUGUUCGCCAGAAAAGGCCUCAAAGAACAAAAUAGCAUAAUAAACAGCUAGGCAUAUCAGCAAAAUCAGUAAAAACCACCUUGGAAAUUAGACCUUUUGGACUGAAAAAUGAGAUCAAUUUACAUUGCACACUCUACUCAUAACAUAAAUAUUACAAACUGAAUAAACUAUGUCUCUCACUUUCCGGGGACAAAGUUAGUGGCAAAAGCCCAGGCAUUGUUGUUUACAGGGUCUGCAAGGUGGUCAGCUAAGUUCUCUAAUGGUCCCUUUCCUGUCACAAUAGCUUGUACAAAGAAACCAAACAUCGAGAACAUGGCUAGUCUUCCAUUCUUCAGUUCCUUCACUUUGAGCUCUGCAAAUGCCUCUGGAUCUUCAGCAAGUCCCAAUGGGUCAAAGCUUCCUCCAGGGUAAAGUGGGUCGACGAUUUCACCAAGAGGUCCUCCAGCAACACGGUAGCCCUCAACGGCCCCCAUCAAGAUAACUUGGGUAGCCCAAAUAGCCAAGAUGCUCUGAGCAUGUACCAAACUUGGGUUUCCCAGGUAGUCAAGUCCGCCUUCACUGAAGAUCUGCGAUCCAGCCUUGAACCACACGGCCUCACCAAACUUGACACCAUUACGAGCCAAGAGCUCUGGGAACACACACCCAAGGGCUCCAAGCAUGGCCCAUCUGGAGUGGAUCACUUCGAGUUCACGGUUCUUGGCAAAAGUCUCGGGGUCAGCUGAGAGCCCAGCAGUGUCCCAACCGUAGUCACCUGGAAAUUCACCAGUGAGGUAAGAUGGGGCCUCACCGGAGAAAGGGCCUAAGUACUUGACACGGUCUGGACCAUACCAUGGGCUGUUAGACACUGGUGCCUUGACAGACUUUCUCAUGGAAAUCCUUCCAUUUCCAAAGAGCUCAGAUGAAGAUGGAGCUACUUUGACUGCCUUUCCGGCCAAAGCUGGCGAAGAGAGGGCCAUUGUUGAAGCAGCCAUUGCAGAAUCAAAGUAAAAACUAUUAGAAGAAAUAUAGACAAGUAAGUUGUUUGUGAGUUUGUGCUGAAUAGGUUGGAAUAAGGAGUAUAUACAAGUGUAAAGGACUAUGAGUGUUUAUCUUUGGAGAUCUCUUAGUCUUGUUUCAUUGGUUCAUCAUAUUCUAAUAACACAAUUAUUUUCUCAUCCAAUUGGCAACCUCUCUACCCCAAAGUAGUCAUGGAUGUAUUAGGUGUCACUCUGUGCAGCGACAUAUCUACUUGACAAUAAGUUGUUAGAGAGAACCAAUUCUUGAUCGCCACGAGUACAAUGUGAUAAUGUUAUAUCUGUAUCACAUGCCUUGGCUAAUAGAAGUUGUAUAACCGUUGAAGGAUCAAGACUGUCUGCAUAUAUGUCAAUGCAAAUGAAUAUGAUUUAUGACAAAAUUAAGUUAAUAAAAUUCGUUAACAAGUUUUUCAGAGGCUUAGCAGUCAGGAUAGCCACUGGUGGUAAUUUGUUAACAGUGUGUGACAAAAGAUAUGCUCUGCCUACUGUAGAGUGUAGACUGCUAUAUCUUGUGGCUGAAUUUUUCCUACACAAAGUGCCAAAGAGUGAUAAUUCAGUUAUAGCCAAGAAAGAAUAACGUCGAGUUUUACUAGUUCCUGCUGGAUCACUUACUUAUUAGAUUUAUAAACUUAGAAAAAUGAUGGUGAUAUUUUGUUAAAAUGUAAUCUUUAGUAGUUAAUCAAAUGUAUGUGUUUCUUAAGUAGACAUUCUGACGCAGUUGUGGUGAACGUUUAGUAUAUACGCUCCAUAGUGUUUACAAUCCUUUACACUCUAAGCAAUCUGUACUCCAAUGCAGUGAGAUGUAAUGAAAUAAUUAUGAUAAAUCUCAACUGAAGUAAUGCAUUUCAUUUUUUGAAUAUAACAAGUAAUUAACGAAUACACAGGUGGUCGAGUUUGCUCAUGCAGUCUGUGACUUGAUAUGGAGUAAUCUGGAAAUGACAACUAAUAAGCCCAAAUCAAGAAAUUGUUGCAGAUGGCUCAUUAUUGAGUUCCACCAACUAGAUAUACGAAACUGGUGGUUCGCAGAAACACAAAGAGCCACAAGAUCUUAUCUUCCAAUCAAAACACAGAUAAGGAUAUUGCAAGAUCACUGAUAGGCUAUCUCCAGGGCAGUAUAAAUACUUACAUAGCCAAACAAUUCUUUCUUCACCAAUACUACCAACAAACAUCACCCACAAAGCUUCCUCAGCUUCUACAUUUUCAAUACAAUGGCUGCUUCAUCAAUGGCCCUCUCUUCUCCUUCAUUUGCAGGAAAGGCUGUUCAAGUAGCUCCAUCUUCAUCAGAGCUCUUUGGAAAUGGAAGGGUUUCUAUGAGGAAGUCUGUCAAGGCCCCGGUGUCUAACAGCCCAUGGUACGGUCCAGACCGUGUCAAGUACUUAGGCCCUUUUUCUGGUGAAGCGCCGUCUUACCUCACUGGUGAAUUUCCAGGUGACUAUGGUUGGGACACAGCUGGGCUUUCAGCUGAUCCCGAGACUUUUGCCAAGAACCGGGAGCUUGAAGUGAUCCACUCCAGAUGGGCCAUGCUUGGGGCUCUCGGGUGUGUCUUCCCAGAGCUCUUGGCGCGUAAUGGCGUCAAGUUCGGUGAGGCUGUGUGGUUCAAGGCUGGAUCACAAAUCUUCAGUGAGGGUGGACUUGACUACUUGGGCAACCCAAGUUUAGUCCAUGCUCAGAGCAUCUUGGCCAUCUGGGCUACCCAAGUCAUCUUGAUGGGGGCCGUUGAGGGUUACCGUGUUGCUGGAGGACCUCUAGGAGAAAUUGUUGACCCCCUUUACCCCGGAGGAAGCUUUGACCCAUUAGGCCUUGCAGAAGAUCCUGAGGCAUUUGCAGAGCUUAAGGUGAAGGAACUGAAGAAUGGAAGACUAGCCAUGUUCUCGAUGUUUGGUUUCUUUGUACAAGCUAUUGUGACAGGAAAGGGACCAUUAGAGAACUUAGCUGACCACCUUGCAGACCCUGUAAACAACAAUGCUUGGGCCUUCGCCACCAACUUUGUCCCCGGAAAGUGAAAGAGUGUUUCAAUUUUUUUCACCUGUAAAAUAGUAACUGUAAUUAGCUUGUGU
RNAcentral lists this long non-coding RNA (5539 nucleotides) under Daucus carota (carrot). Its description in RNAcentral is "long non-coding RNA (DCAR_LNC005683)". Lineage: Eukaryota; Viridiplantae; Streptophyta; Magnoliopsida; Apiales; Apiaceae. The record is from RNAcentral.